This 316-nucleotide ribosomal RNA is filed under the name uncultured eukaryote. Its description in RNAcentral is "partial 18S ribosomal RNA". It matches the Rfam family "Eukaryotic small subunit ribosomal RNA", at positions 1470 to 1796 of the family's 1831-position model. The record is from RNAcentral.
CCCUUAGAUGUCCGGGGCCGCACGCGCGCUACACUGAAGGAAUCAGCGUGGCUCUGUCCCUGGUCCGAAAGGAUUGGGAAACCCGUUGAAUCUCCUUCGUGAUAGGGAUUGGGGCUUGGAACUGUUCCCCAUGAACGAGGAAUUCCCAGUAAGCGCGAGUCAUAAGCUCGCGUUGAUUACGUCCCUGCCCUUUGUACACACCGCCCGUCGCUACUACCGAUUGAACGGUUUAGUGAGGGCAUCGGACUGGUCGCUUGCGUCCGACUGCUGAAACUUGAUUAAACCAUAUCAUUUAGAGGAAGGUGAAGUCGUAACA